Molecule: long non-coding RNA, 2392 nt
Organism: Oncorhynchus masou masou (cherry salmon)
Lineage: Eukaryota; Metazoa; Chordata; Actinopteri; Salmoniformes; Salmonidae
Exons: 3
Source: RefSeq, a predicted model, not a curated record
ACUCCACUACUACUACGCCCUAGGUCAGUGAUACUCCACUACUACUACGCCCUAGGUCAGUGAUACUCCACUACUACUACGCCCUAGGUCAGUGAUACUCCACUACUACGCCCUAGGUCAGUGAUACUCCACUACUACUACGCCUAGGUCAGUGAUACUCCACUACUACUACGCCCGAGGUCAGUGAUACUCCACUACUACUACGCCCGAGGUCAGUGAUACUCCAUUACUACUACGCCCUAGGUCAGUGAUACUCCAUUACUACUACUACGCCCUAGGUCAGUGAUACUCCACUACUACUACGCCCUAGGUCAGUGAUACUCCACUACUACUACUACGCCCUAGGUCAGUGAUACUCCAUUACUACUACUACGCCCUAGGUCAGUGAUACUCCACUACUACUACUACGCCCGAGGUCAGUGAUACUCCAUUACUACUACGCCCUAGGUCAGUGAUACUCCCACUACUACUCCCAUUACCAAGCCCUAGGUCAGUGAUACUCCCACUACUACUCCCAUUACCAAGCCCUAGGUCAGUGAUACUCCCACUACUACUCCCAUUACCAAGCCCUAGGUCAGUGAUACUCCACCACUACUCCCAUUACCAAGCCCUAGGUCAGUGAUACUCCACCACUACUACUCCCAUUACCAAGCCCUAGGUCAGUGAUACUCCCACUACUACUCCCAUUACCAAGCCCUAGGUCAGUGAUACUACACCCUAGGUCAGUGAUACUCCCACUACUACUCCCAUUACCAAGCCCUAGGUCAGUGAUACUCCACCACUACUCCCAUUACUACGCCCUAGGUCAGUGAUACUCCACCCACCACUACUCCCAUUACCAAGCCCUAGGUCAGUGAUACUCCACCACUACUCCCAUUACCAAGCCCUAGGUCAGUGAUACUCCUCCACCACUACUCUCAUUACUACGCCCUAGGUCAGUGAUACUCCCACCACUACUCCCAUUACCAAGCCCUAGGUCAGUGAUACUCCACCACUACUCCCAUUACCAAGCCCUAGGUCAGUGAUACUCCACCACUACGCCCUAGGUCAGUGAUACUCCACUACUACUCCCAUUACCAAGCCCUAGGUCAGUGAUACUCCCACUACUACUCCCAUUACCAAGCCCUAGGUCAGUGAUACUCCACCACUACACCCUAGGUCAGUGAUACUCCCACUACUACGUCCUAGGUCAGUGAGUAUAGUUGUUUUGAAGUAGUUUAAAACAAACAACUAAAAGCAGAUUGUCGGUAUGUAGAAAUGACACAGAGCCUUCAGAAAGUGUUCACGCCCCUCGACUUCUUCCACAUUUUGUUGUGACAGCCAGAAUUAAAACACACACAAUAACCCAUAAUGACAAAGUGAAAACAUGUGUUGACAUUUUUGCAAAUGUAUUGAAAAUGAACUCUUAGAAAUAUCUCCUUUGCAUAAGUAUUCAAACCCCUGAGUCAAUACUUUGUAGAAGCACCUUUGGCAGUGAUUACAGCUGUGAGUCUUUCUGGGUAAAUCUCUUAGAGCUUUGCACACCUGGAUGAUACAAUAUUUGCACAUUAUUCUUUUAAAAUUCUUCUCUUUCUUUUAAACUGUCAAAUUGACAGCCAUUUUCAAGUCUGAACCUUGUUUUCCUCUAGGAUUUUGCAUGUGCUUAUAGCUGUAUUCUGUUUAUUUUUAUCCUAAAAAAAAAAAUUUCCCUUGUCAUUGUCGCUGACAAGCACACCCAUAACAUGAUGCAGCAACCACCAUGCUUGAAAAUAUGAAGAGUUGUACUCCGUGAUGUGUUGGAUUUGCCCUAAACUUAACACUUUGUAUUCAGGAAAGAAAGUCAGAUUUUUGGCAUUAUUUUUUGCAGUAUUACUUAAGUGCCUUGUUGCAAACAGGAUGCAGGUUUUGUAAUACAGGCUUCCUUUUCACUCUGUCAUUUAAGUUAGUAUUGUGGAGUAACUACAAUGUUGUUGAUCCAUCCUUCGUUCUCAUAUCACACCCAUUAUACUCUGUAACUGUUUUAAAGUCACCACUGGCAUCAUGAUGAAAUCCCUGAGUGGUUUCCUUCCUCUCCGGCAACUGAGCUAGGAAAGAUGCCUGAAUCUUUGUAGUGACCGGGUGUAUUGAUUCACCAUGCAAAGUGUAAUUAACAACUUCACCAUGCUCAAAGGGAUAUUCAAGUUCAUUGAAAAACCUUCCCUGGUCUUUGUGGUUGAAUCUGUGCUUGAAAUGUAUUACCCGGUUGAGGGAGUGGGGUACAGAGAUGGGGUAGUCAUUCAGAGAUGGGGUAGUCAUUCAGAGAUGGGGUAGUCAUUCAGAGAUGGGGUAGUCAUUCAGAGAUGGGGUAGUCAUUCAGAGAUGGGGUAGUCAUUCAGAGAUGAUGUUAACCACUAUUAUUGAACAUGGAAUGAGU